This 482-nucleotide ribosomal RNA is filed under the name uncultured bacterium. RNAcentral describes it as "partial 16S ribosomal RNA". It matches the Rfam family "Bacterial small subunit ribosomal RNA", at positions 28 to 523 of the family's 1533-position model. The record is from RNAcentral.
GACGAACGCUGGAGGCGUGCUUAACACAUGCAAGUCGAACGAUGAAAUGGAGCUUGCUCCAUGGAUUAGUGGCGAACGGGUGAGUAACACGUGAAUAACCUGCCCUUAAUAUUGGAAUAACCCAGGGAAACCUGGGCUAAUACCGGAUAAGUAAACCUGUGGCAUCACAUGGUUUUGGAAAGUUUUUCGAUUAAGGAUGGAUUCGCGGCCUAUCAGCUUGUUGGUGAGGUAAUGGCUCACCAAGGCGACGACGAGUAGCCGGCCUGAGAGGGUGAACGGCCACACUGGGACUGAGACACGGCCCAGACUCCUACGGGAGGCAGCAGUGGGGAAUAUUGCGCAAUGGACGAAAGUCUGACGCAGCGACGCCUCGUGAGGGACGAAGGUCUUCGGAUUGUAAACCUCUUUCAGCAGGGACGAAGCGAAAGUGACGGUACCUGCAGAAGAAGCACCGGCUAACUAUGUGCCAGCAGCCGCGGUAA